Sinocyclocheilus anshuiensis is the source of this 232-nucleotide long non-coding RNA. RefSeq lists it as uncharacterized. The record is from RefSeq and is a predicted model, not a curated record. The transcript has 3 exons. NCBI's taxonomy places the organism in Eukaryota, Metazoa, Chordata, Actinopteri, Cypriniformes, Cyprinidae.
GCUCAGUCCUUCAAAGAGUUUUCCCAGCUGCUGAGCACCAUGGAAGAGGAGAGAAGGCGGCUGAUACAGAAUGCCGAUGAUGUUCUGAUCACGCCCUUGGAGAGAUUCCGGAAAGAGCAGAUCGGAGCAGCCAAGGAGGGGAAGAAGAAAUUUGACAAGGAGACGGAAAAGUACUAUUCCUCACUGGAAAAACAUCUCAACCUGUCGUCCAGAAAAAAAGAUUCAGCUCUGC